This 253-nucleotide ribosomal RNA is filed under the name uncultured bacterium. Its description in RNAcentral is "partial 16S ribosomal RNA". It matches the Rfam family "Bacterial small subunit ribosomal RNA", at positions 524 to 776 of the family's 1533-position model. The record is from RNAcentral.
UACGUAGGGACCAAGCGUUGUUCGGAUUUACUGGGCGUAAAGGGCGCGUAGGCGGCGUGGUAAGUCACUUGUGAAAUCUCUGAGCUUAACUCAGAACGGCCAAGUGAUACUGCUGUGCUAGAGUGCAGAAGGGGCAAUCGGAAUUCUCGGUGUAGCGGUGAAAUGCGUAGAUAUCGAGAGGAACACCAGAGGUGAAGACGGGUUGCUGGGCUGACACUGACGCUGAGGCGCGAAAGCCAGGGGAGCAAACGGG